AGUCUUAUAGUCAAUAAUGAUUUAAAAUUGCAAAUUUUAAGGGGUAAAUAUAUUACUAAGGCUU
This 64-nucleotide transfer RNA is filed under the name Battus polydamas (gold-rim swallowtail). Its description in RNAcentral is "tRNA-Cys". Lineage: Eukaryota; Metazoa; Arthropoda; Insecta; Lepidoptera; Papilionidae. The record is from RNAcentral.